This 107-nucleotide small nucleolar RNA is filed under the name Phanerochaete carnosa HHB-10118-sp. Its description in RNAcentral is "A. fumigatus snoRNA Afu_304". It matches the Rfam family "A. fumigatus snoRNA Afu_304". Lineage: Eukaryota; Fungi; Basidiomycota; Agaricomycetes; Polyporales; Phanerochaetaceae. The record is from Rfam by way of RNAcentral.
CACUAUGAUGAAAAAGAGCUUUGCUCGAAUAACCCAGCUCGUUGAGGCGGGAGUAACGCCCCAUUAUGCCGUUGAGAAUAACCUUCCAGCUGAUCCCUUCGUUAUCA